Molecule: small RNA, 148 nt
Filed under: Pongo abelii (Sumatran orangutan)
Lineage: Eukaryota; Metazoa; Chordata; Mammalia; Primates; Hominidae
Description: Metazoan signal recognition particle RNA (ENSPPYG00000032932.1)
Source: Rfam by way of RNAcentral
GCCAGGCAUGGUGGUGCAUGCCUGUAAUCCCAGCUACUCGGGAGGCUGAGGCAGGAGAAUCGCUUGACCCCAGGAGGUGGAGGUUGCAGUGAGCCAAGAUGGCGCCACUGUACUCCAGCCUGGGUAACAGAGUGAGACUCUGUCCCCU